This 126-nucleotide microRNA precursor is filed under the name Myotis lucifugus (little brown bat). RNAcentral's name for it is "mir-9193 microRNA precursor family". The record is from Rfam by way of RNAcentral. Lineage: Eukaryota; Metazoa; Chordata; Mammalia; Chiroptera; Vespertilionidae.
UGUGCACCAGUGGGGUCCCUCGGCCUGGCCUGCGCCCUCUUGCUAUCUGGGACCCCUCAGGGGAUGUUGGAGAGCCAAUUUCAGCUCGAUCCCGCAGGCCAGGCUGAGGGACCCCACUGGUGCACA